Molecule: long non-coding RNA, 6239 nt
Organism: Dunckerocampus dactyliophorus (ringed pipefish)
Lineage: Eukaryota; Metazoa; Chordata; Actinopteri; Syngnathiformes; Syngnathidae
Exons: 3
Source: RefSeq, a predicted model, not a curated record
UCCCGCGCGUCUCGGGAAACUUGUCCUACUUCUUCUUGUUCUCGUUCUUGUAAGGAGCAGCAACAAGUGUUCUCCUCCUCAUCAGCUUCCUCCUCCUUCUCGCAGUGAUCUCAGCAGCCUGACAGCGUCGGCCUGGAGUGGUGACGUCACGGGAUACGCCCCCCUCUCCGGAAAAGCACUGCCGGAGGAGGAGGAAGAGGAGCAGGUGAACUUUCACAUGGAAGUUGUUGAGAUUGGAAUGGAAAUGUCUUAACGUGAAGAAAAGUGAGGAUCUUUGCUAGACUUUGAGUUAAGUUGGACCAGAACCAGCAGAACCAUCAAAUGGCACAACCAGGCCACCAAAACUAACCUUGUGACGGCUAGGUCAUGUCGUCAGAAACACAGGUGCAUUUCAUGUUUUAUUGUGUGCUUUGUAGCCUCUUGUCAAUUGUGUGUGAUUUGUUGGGGGGAAAAGCAAGUUUUCUGCGUGCGUUGUGUAGCGAUGUUUUUUUUUGUUGUUGUUGCUUGGCGCAUUCCUGUGACGUCACGAUAUGGCCCAUUAUACAUUAUAAUUGUCAUAGGAGUACGUGAAUAAUGAAAAAAAUGAAAAACAAUGAGCGCUUAACACUCACAAUUACGAGAGCACCUGAACGCCUCACCGCACAGAGCGCAUAGUCAUAGCAGAGAGAAGGAAAGUUCUUCAUUGCUCUGUGUGAGGUAUAUAAAUAAGUAAAUUUCAUGAUUAUGUUGUGUAUAAAGAGUGUUUCAUCUUGAAGGUUUCAUUUAUAUCGGUGUUCCAAUCCCCCCCGUGAAAACCUGUCGACGUAUGUGCGUGUCAGGAUGAGAGUAUAGAUUCCCCUUAAAAUGAGGUUUUAUCGCUGCUUGUAUGUAUUUUUGUACUUUGGAUACUGCUUUAUCAUGUUUGUUCAACUUUCCCUUUCAAUUUGGUAUCAAAUUAAUAUGCAGGUUUAAAUCAUAGCGAUUGCAAGUGGACAAAAGUGAAGCUCAAGUUCAACCCAUUCAAACGGAGGGAUCCCAACAUUCGGCUGAAAUAAAAGAUAUGUAGGACGAAUACUUAGAUACUUUAUUCAUCUCCAGGAGAUAUUGACAUUUUAUCCAUUUAUUAGUGCUCAUGUAAAACUUUUAUCAAAAUGUAACCAUCCAAAAUACAAAUUUUUGAACUUACUAUAAAAUUAAUUAACCAGUUAGUCAUGUUUAAUAGUUCAAUCUAAUGAAAAUUAAAAAUAUUUUGUCUUUUUAAGUGUGCAGGAGUAGGGGUGCAUGCUUUGAAGUCAAAUGCCUGAAGGGGUCCGCGACUGUGAAAAGUUUGGGAACCACUGGGCUCGAAGAAGCUGCUUGAAAACAUACAAGUGAAAAUUCAAAUAUGGGAAUUACAGUAGUACCUCGCAUAACGUAAACCUCCUUUUACAUAAAUUCCACUGAACAUAAAGAAUUUAUGUAAAGUUUUUGCUUCGUUUUACAGAAGAAAUUCCAUAUAACAUAAAGUGUCAAGUCAGUGCAAGUCUUUUUUUUUUCAAUUAACUUUAUUAAUGCUUCAAGUCAGUGCAAGUUCAGACUAACACUUGGUGACGCCUUCUGACGCAUCACGCUCUCAUUGACUGAUUUCCAGGGCACCGCCUCCGCUCUCAUCUCAUUGGCUGAUUUUCGGGGCACCACCUGCGCUCUCAUCUCAUUGGCUGAGUUAUACAAGCACGUACAUGAGUUUGUGUGAGAGACAGGCUUGUCCCUUCAACCUCCUUCCUCUUUGUAGUCCCCCUGAAACUAACCUAAACAAUUAAGUUAAGUUACAAAUUAAAAUUUUGCACACAGUAUUAUCGUGUAGUGCGUGUGCGUUUGUCUGUGAGACCAGCUGACUCUUAGACUCUUUGAGUUGCGUUUCGACUCAGGCUAGUCCUCCUCCUCCUUCCUGCCUCCACUUGCACUCCUGAUCAAGACAUCUCGUGAACGUGGACCUGGCUGGUCCGCGUGGAUGAAGAGACAGAGUCUGUUGAAGGCGACAAAGCAUGAGGCGGACCCGACUGAUUGAUGGUGGUGCGUCAAAGAAAAGGAUGAAAGUGAAAAGCGAAGUGAAAUCUGACGUUGUAAAAUGCUCAGAAAUGGAGAAACGCUGAUCAACAUUGGUUGCAUGCCCGGUUCAAGCUGCUCAAGCACCCCAACCAUCAUGGAUGAUAAAGAUGGUAUCUUUGGACAUGUGCUCCUCUGAAAUGGACUAUGAUAACUUCGCAGUGUAGUGGUCUCAUUAUUGACAUGUCAUCCUCCUAAUAAGCCUGUCUCUCCCUUCCUUGCAACGCCCCUUUCAGGUGCAAGACAACCAAAGGGAUACAAGCAAGGAGUUGUUCUGAACUGUCACAAACUGCAUUGAAGACAAAUAAAACAAGCUAUCAGAUGUUAUAUGAAAUGUAAUACUUACGAUUUGGAUGACUUUUGGUCAUAAGCUUGGUUCCCGUGGUUACCACAAGUCCCUGACGGACGCAGCGCUUUUGUUCUCGCUGCAAAGAUGCGUUGAUUCAUUUGUGUAAUAAAAAGAGCAUGAGAUCAUGUUCCUCCCUCCCAAAUGUUUCGUCUCAAGCAUCUUUGAGCUUUAAUUGUCAAGCGGACGCCAACACAGGGAGAGCGGCGUGGGAGUGACGAGGAGCGCCAGGACAGGUUGCCUUGAACUUUCCUACCUUCAGUCCCUCCUCCCCCCUACUCCAGUCUGGGAAAUUUAAGGAUUUCAGGAAAUUCUCUGGCAGGACAUGAGCUGCUGGAGGUCCUUGACCAGGAGACACAAAGACUGGUGGACAUUUAAGAGACACUCAUUAACUUUAUGAUCACGUUUGUUAGUUUAGCAUCCCAUGAAUCUGGAGAGGAGAAUAUCGACAGGAAGUUACAUGAAGUAAGAAUCAAAGCAGUAAAGCCAAGUUUAGACUGCUUUGUUGUUUCUACCUUACAGCGGUUAGAGGUUUGCUUUUCCUUUGGCUUUUACAUCUUUUUAUGACACUUAUUCCAAAAGAACAAAAAAGAAAAAGAGUCGUGUAGACAGGAAGUUACAUGAAGACAGGAAGUUACUUGAAGUUUCCGUCGUAGAAGUAAAGCCAAGUGUAGACACUGUUUUGCUUUUUUCGCCUGAAAGUGGUUAGCUGUUUGCUUGUUCUUUGGCUUUCAUGUGUUUUUUUGUGACCAGAAGAAUACAGAAUAAUAAUAUAGACAGGAAGUUAGACAGUGAAAUAACAGUCACAGCAAUCCAAUUAAGUUUUGAUAUUAUUAUGUUGCUUUUAUAACCUUACAGAGCUUGGUGGUUUGCUUUUUCUUUGGCUUGUAUGCCUUUUUGUGCCACGUACUGAAAAAGAUGAUUAUAGACAGGAAGUUGUGUGAAGUAGCAUUCAAAGCAGCAAAGCCAAAUUUACAUAGACAUACUAAACUUGACCUUUUAGUGGUUAAUGGGUUGCUUUUUCUUUGGCUUUUAUGUCUUUUUUAUGCCACUUAUUCCAAAAGAACACAGAAGAAUAAAACAAGUUAGACAGUGAAAUAAUAGUCACAAUAAAAACAAAUGUACAUAGACUGAUUAGUCAUUUUACCCUCCAGUGGUUUGCUUUUUCUUUGGCUUUUAUGUCUUUAUGUACCACUUAUUUGAGAAGAACACAGAAGAAGAAUAUAGACAGGAAGUUAGACAGUGAAGUAACAGUCAAAGCAGUAAAGUUUGGAUAUUAUUGUUUUUACUUCACAGUGGUUCACUUCUUUUUAAACUUUUCAGUUGAAAAGAGACUCCAUCAUGACCAUCAUGACCAUCAUGACCAUCACGUUCAUCAUCAUCGUGUUGUCUCCUCCGGCUGUGCUUUAAAAGACACGAGCUUAGUCAAAAGACACUAGUGAGUCACGGUACAGCUUGCCGCAUGUCAGCGUUCGUCUUCACGAGGCCUUGCCGGCUUAUUUACGACACGGUUGGCAUCCAAGAACACCGAGUACCACGCAGCGCGCGUCACCGUCUGAAGGUCCACUAGAUAAAAUACGAUCACCAAGACCUGAAGAAGGAAGGGAAAUAAUCUUCAAUUGAAAGAGGUUGUUAGCAAGAUGCUAACCGCAUGAAGCUGCCAUCAAAUGUCACCUGACCUUCCCAGGAAGGAACUUUUUUGUCUUUAAAGUUUUUGGGAGAUUUUCAGCACAGCUUUUGGUCUUCACGGAGCGCCAGCGUUUAGUCUCAUUAAUUCUCAGGCCCCUCUAGUAAACAGACUUUUAUGAGGGCACACACGUGGAAACGUAGCCGAAUGUUUGCUCAGUCAGAAUAAAUUCUGGAGCUUGAAUAUUCAUGCCAGGAGAGCUAAUACUUUCAUUUGACUGUGGCUUUCUCUCUGUUAGCCUUUUUUAUUAGACGUGUCUCCUCCUCUUCUCCUCCAAAGAUCUGCUCUUCACGGACAGACGCUCUCCAAUGACGCUAUUCACUGAGCUCUCAGUGGACAAUGUAGGAGGAGGAGGUUCAUACCAUGCUUGAACUCUGCUUUCUGUCGCCAUCUUUCUCUGGCCAUUGUUCUACUCGGCCACAAAAGGCCUUUUAGUGUCCAGAUGUGAUGGAAAAUGAAAUCCACAGUAAAAAAAAAAAAAAAAAAAAAAACAUGAGAGGAGUGAGACUGACAAAGGAGGCGGAUGCUCCAUCAGAGAGACGUUGCGGCGUCUAUUUGCGUCAUCGCCUGACAUUCUUCAGCAUCUCCAAUAUGUGCUUGUUGUUGCUAUCUAUCACAAGAGCGUUGCUUCUAAGCCGUGUUGUUUGCAGGGUGAUGUCGUCGGGCAGGCGCUCCAGAAUUGGGAAUGGUUGUUGUAGCAGCCCUGAGCAUCAAUAACCAAAUGUCGAGUUCGACGGAUACAACUUCAUUCCUUCGUUGGUUACCGUGAAAGCAAAACACAUUGCAAACAUCAAAAUCAAUACUAUUUAAAACAUUGACAUUUUUCACAUCUUAACAUUUACAAUUCACAACAAAUAGCAUUUAAUAUAUACUGUGUUCAGGACAUUUUAUUAAACCCACAUACACACACCCUAGUAGCCCUUUAAUGCAGCAACAAUGGCACAUCACUAAUAUUUGAAUACCUCAUACUUCACUUUGCCUACCGAGGGUGCAAAUUAGAUGUGAAUAGCCGCGUCGAAAGGCCACGUUUACGCGAGCUCGGACCACCCGCAGUCACUGAUACACAAACACACAUAAAUGCUGGGCUUACUGACAAACAACACAACAAUUUUGUGAAGAUUUAUCUAUUUGCUUCACAAAAAGCAGUGCCUUUUCCUCACAUUCACAGCCAUUAAGGUAACAAAAAAAAACUUACCAACAAUGCAUUUCAAAAUAACAUAAAAUGUCUCAUUUUUUCAUCUGCACAGUACGAUCACAGUGACGGCUAGACUCCUUGAAGUGAAUGGAACACAAGUAAAGUGAAUUGCAAGAAAAGCUGUUGUACACGGUAUAAGUACAAUUGUUUGGGUUUCAUCCAUACAAGCGGUUGAAGGCUGAUACUUCAGCUGCUUCCAGUGCCCUUGUAUGGCCCAUAAAAAUGAACAUUAUCAGCAUGAACAGACUUUAUUCUCAUAUACAUCCCAGAACACAUGAAUCUAUAAUAGAGAGAGUUUAAACGCAUAUCACAACCGAUGAAGUACUUCAAAUGCAAUGCAAUACAGUACGCAGCCAAAAUGUUUUACGGAUCUGCAUUGGCACACAUUUUGUUCCCCUGACAAGAGAUAUUAUCUGUCCUAUAUUACAGUACUCUCAAAGCAAAAGCAUGAAAAUACCCACGGAGGACCCCAAUCUCACACAGCAUCUGCAAUAUGGAAUAACUGGUGCACAUUGAAUGUCCAGUAUUCUUGGCCAUACAAUAUGGGAACUUGUCUAACAAACAUUAUCAGCGAAAUCAACCUCUAUUCCAUUUUCCUCCGCUUAUCCGGCUCGCGGGGGCAGCAGUCUCAGUGGGGAAGCGCAGGCUUCCCGGUCCCUGGCCACCUCCUCCAGCUCCACCGGGAGGACACCAAGGCGUUCCCAGGCCAGCUGUGAGACAUAAUGUUGUAGGUCCUAGGCCCUUCUCCCGGCUGGGCAUGCCCGGAACACCUCACCAGGGAGGCGUCCGGGUGGCAUCCGGACUAGAUGCCCAAGCCACCUCAACUGGCUCCUCUCGAUGCGAAAGAGCAGCGGCUCUACUCUGAGCUCCUCCCGGAUGACCGAGCGCCUCACACUGUCUCUUACGGUGAAUCCAGCUGGCCUACGGCGGAAACUCAUUUCCUUGGC